Molecule: small nuclear RNA, 108 nt
Organism: Gorilla gorilla gorilla (western lowland gorilla)
Lineage: Eukaryota; Metazoa; Chordata; Mammalia; Primates; Hominidae
Source: Ensembl
GUGCUUGCUUUGGCAGCACAUAAUACUAAAAAUUUGGACAGUACAGAGAAGAUAGCAUGGCCCCUGUACAAGGAUGACAUGCAGAUUUGUAAAGCAUUCCACAUUCAA